AUAUUUACCUGGCAGGGGAGAUACCAUGAUCACGAAGGUGGUUUUCCCAGGGCGAGGCUUAUCCAUUGCACUCCGGAUGUGCUGACCCCUGCGAUUUCCCCAAAUGUGGGAAACUCGACUGCAUAAUUUGUGGUGGUAGUGGGGGACUGCGUUCGCGCUUUCCCCUG
This 167-nucleotide small nuclear RNA is filed under the name Cervus hanglu yarkandensis (Yarkand deer). RNAcentral's name for it is "U1 spliceosomal RNA (ENSCHYG00000025923.1)". It matches the Rfam family "U1 spliceosomal RNA". Rfam says of the family: U1 is a small nuclear RNA (snRNA) component of the spliceosome (involved in pre-mRNA splicing). Lineage: Eukaryota; Metazoa; Chordata; Mammalia; Artiodactyla; Cervidae. The record is from Rfam by way of RNAcentral.